RNAcentral lists this ribosomal RNA (427 nucleotides) under uncultured beta proteobacterium. RNAcentral's name for it is "bacterial SSU rRNA". It matches the Rfam family "Bacterial small subunit ribosomal RNA", at positions 355 to 774 of the family's 1533-position model. The record is from RNAcentral. Lineage: Bacteria; Pseudomonadati; Pseudomonadota; Betaproteobacteria.
UGGGGAAUUUUGGACAAUGGGCGAAAGCCUGAUCCAGCCAUGCCGCGUGAGUGAAGAAGGCCUUCGGGUUGUAAAGCUCUUUUAGUCGGAAAGAAAGAGUUGCAAUGAAUAAUUGUGAUUUAUGACGGUACCGACAGAAAAAGCACCGGCUAACUACGUGCCAGCAGCCGCGGUAAUACGUAGGGUGCGAGCGUUAAUCGGAAUUACUGGGCGUAAAGGGUGCGCAGGCGGUCUUGCAAGUCAGAUGUGAAAGCCCCGGGCUUAACCUGGGAAUUGCGUUUGAAACUACAAGGCUAGAGUGCAGCAGAGGGGAGUGGAAUUCCAUGUGUAGCAGUGAAAUGCGUAGAGAUGUGGAAGAACACCGAUGGCGAAGGCAGCUAGCUGGGCCUUGAUUGACGCUGAGGCACGAAAGCGUGGGGAGCAAACA